UACGUAGGUGGCAAGCGUUGUCCGGAAUUAUUGGGCGUAAAGCGCGCGCAGGCGGCCUCUUAAGUCUGAUGUGAAAGCCCCCGGCUCAACCGGGGAGGGCCUUGGAAACUGGGAGGCUUGAGUAUAGGAGAGAAGAAGUGGAAUUCCACGUGUAGCGGUGAAAUGCGUAGAGAUGUGGAGGAACACCAGUGGCGAAGGCGACUCUUUGGCCUAUAACUGACGCUGAGGCGCGAAAGCGUGGGGAGCAAACAGG
This 253-nucleotide ribosomal RNA is filed under the name uncultured bacterium. Its description in RNAcentral is "partial 16S ribosomal RNA". It matches the Rfam family "Bacterial small subunit ribosomal RNA", at positions 524 to 776 of the family's 1533-position model. The record is from RNAcentral.